CCCUUAGAGUUUGAUCCUGGCUCAGGACGAACGCUGGCGGCGCGCCUAACACAUGCAAGUCGAACGAGCGAGAGAGAGCUUGCUUUCUCGAGCGAGUGGCGAACGGGUGAGUAACGCGUGAGGAACCUGCCUCAAAGAGGGGGACAACAGUUGGAAACGACUGCUAAUACCGCAUAAGCCCACAGCUCGGCAUCGAGCAGAGGGAAAAGGAGCAAUCCGCUUUGAGAUGGCCUCGCGUCCGAUUAGCUAGUUGGUGAGGUAAUGGCCCACCAAGGCAACGAUCGGUAGCCGGACUGAGAGGUUGAACGGCCACAUUGGGACUGAGACACGGCCCAGACUCCUACGGGAGGCAGCAGUGGGGAAUAUUGCACAAUGGGGGAAACCCUGAUGCAGCGACGCCGCGUGGAGGAAGAAGGUCUUCGGAUUGUAAACUCCUGUUGUUGAGGAAGAUAAUGACGGUACUCAACAAGGAAGUGACGGCUAACUACGUGCCAGCAGCCGCGGUAAAACGUAGGUCACAAGCGUUGUCCGGAAUUACUGGGUGUAAAGGGAGCGCAGGCGGGAAGACAAGUUGGAAGUGAAAUCUAUGGGCUCAACCCAUAAACUGCUUUCAAAACUGUUUUUCUUGAGUAGUGCAGAGGUAGGCGGAAUUCCCGGUGUAGCGGUGGAAUGCGUAGAUAUCGGGAGGAACACCAGUGGCGAAGGCGGCCUACUGGGCACCAACUGACGCUGAGGCUCGAAAGUGUGGGUAGCAAACAGGAUUAGAUACCCUGGUAGUCCACACCGUAAACGAUGAUUACUAGGUGUUGGAGGAUUGACCCCUUCAGUGCCGCAGUUAACACAAUAAGUAAUCCACCUGGGGAGUACGACCGCAAGGUUGA
This 881-nucleotide ribosomal RNA is filed under the name uncultured bacterium. Its description in RNAcentral is "bacterial SSU rRNA". It matches the Rfam family "Bacterial small subunit ribosomal RNA", at positions 1 to 897 of the family's 1533-position model. The record is from RNAcentral.